This 465-nucleotide ribosomal RNA is filed under the name Vreelandella stevensii. Its description in RNAcentral is "partial 16S ribosomal RNA". It matches the Rfam family "Bacterial small subunit ribosomal RNA", at positions 338 to 795 of the family's 1533-position model. Lineage: Bacteria; Pseudomonadati; Pseudomonadota; Gammaproteobacteria; Oceanospirillales; Halomonadaceae. The record is from RNAcentral.
CCUACGGGUGGCUGCAGUGGGGAAUAUUGGACAAUGGGGGGAACCCUGAUCCAGCCAUGCCGCGUGUGUGAAGACGGCCCUCGGGUUGUAAAGCACUUUCAGUGAGGAAGAACGCCUGGUGGUUAAUACCCAUCAGGAAAGACAUCACUCACAGAAGAAGCACCGGCUACCUCCGUGCCAGCAGCCGCGGUAAUACGGAGGGUGCGAGCGUUAAUCGGAAUUACUGGGCGUAAAGCGCGCGUAGGUGGCUUGAUAAGCCGGUUGUGAAAGCCCCGGGCUCAACCUGGGAACGGCAUCCGGAACUGGCAAGCUAGGGUGCAGGAGGGGAAGGUAGAAUUCCCGGUGUAGCGGUGAAAUGCGUAGAGAUCGGGAGGAACACCAGUGGCGAAGGCGGCCUUCUGGGCCGACACUGACACUGAGGUGCGAAAGCGUGGGGAGCGAACAGGAUUAGAUACCCCAGUAGUC